ACCGGCCAAGGAAGGAACUGCCAUCCUGUUUGAGAAAAUGAGAGAACUCGGAGUUUUACUCGGUAAAGGUGGGCUACGCGGAAAUGUUUUCAGAAUAAAGCCGCCAAUGUGUUUCACCAAAGAUGAUGCGGAUUUUCUUGUUGAUGCUUUGGAUUAUGCAAUGUCAAAGUUGUGAGCAGAAACGCUGACGUAACUUCUCGAUCCUUAGGCAUCCAAGUUAAAGCGUGAUCUUCUGUUUAAAAACAAUACUAAUAAUUAAACCGCAUACUCUCUGCAUUUGGAUGUGUCAAAGGAUCAUUAAGGUCCAGCAUAAUUAUCUUUUUAAUGUUGUGAAGUAUAUUUGUGUGUAUUUGGAUUUGUUG
Molecule: long non-coding RNA, 362 nt
Organism: Hibiscus syriacus
Lineage: Eukaryota; Viridiplantae; Streptophyta; Magnoliopsida; Malvales; Malvaceae
Exons: 3
Source: RefSeq, a predicted model, not a curated record